UACGAAGGGGGCUAGCGUUGCUCGGAAUUACUGGGCGUAAAGCGCACGUAGGCGGACUCUUAAGUCGGGGGUGAAAGCCCAGGGCUCAACCCUGGAACUGCCUUCGAUACUGGGAGUCUUGAGUGUGGAAGAGGUUGGGUGGAACUGCGAGUGUAGAGGUGAAAUUCGUAGAUAUUCGCAAGAACACCAGUGGCGAAGGCGGCCAACUGGUCCAUUACUGACGCUGAGGUGGCGAAAAGCGGUGGGGGAGCAAACAGGGAUUAAGAAACCCUA
This 273-nucleotide ribosomal RNA is filed under the name uncultured bacterium. Its description in RNAcentral is "partial 16S ribosomal RNA". It matches the Rfam family "Bacterial small subunit ribosomal RNA", at positions 524 to 789 of the family's 1533-position model. The record is from RNAcentral.